Long non-coding RNA from Pongo pygmaeus (Bornean orangutan), 5327 nucleotides. RefSeq lists it as uncharacterized. The record is from RefSeq and is a predicted model, not a curated record. NCBI's taxonomy places the organism in Eukaryota, Metazoa, Chordata, Mammalia, Primates, Hominidae. The transcript has 5 exons.
UUUUCUUCAGAUGUAUGCCCACAAGUAGGGUCUCUAGUUCCAAUGGUAGUUCUCUCUUUGAGUUUUGGAGACAACUCCUGACUGUUUUCCGUAACGGCUGCACCCAUCGCCAUCUCCAAUGCACAAGGGUUUUCUUUUCUCCACAUCCUCUGACAAAUCCGCAAGAAGGGGUUGCUUUCCAGAGGAGACAGAGCAGUGGCCUGGACAGGACAGAUGGAUGGCCCAAGGGAGACCCUGCUCUUUAGGGCCCAGCUUCCAAAUCUUGGGGAGAAGCCCUUCUGUGAGCGGGGAGGAGGUGCUGGGGCUCCCAGCCUGUUCAACCAGUGGGGUGCUUUUCUGUGGAAUUACUCCUCUCCAAUCUACAGACACUUGAUGUGCCAGGUGCUGACAGCUGGAGUAUGCCUCAUUAAUUUAAUGACAGUUUUUCUGGAAUACAUCUGACACUUAGGCAUUUAAUGCUAACAGCACUUCCUAGAUGUACCCAAACUUCAGAAGUUCUUUUUUUAAAGCACUCGAGCACCUAGGAAAUACUGUAAGUUUGGGAAACACUGGGUUAAACUGAGGUAAGUCUGUCUCUUUUCUGCACGAUUUUCUUAAGACUAUAGGUGUUUACAGUGGAGAUAGGCUGUUUCCUCCUCCUCUAUGCCCUGCUUUAGUGGGCUGAGUGCAUCCCUGGGAAUCUAAGCUACUUAACCCAGGCAUCAUUGCAGGCAGGAUUCUAAUGGCCCCACAUCUGCUAUCUGUGAGCUGCCACUGAUCGUGAGCUAUGGAUCUGGGCAGCCAAGCCAGUCUGCACCUCAGCUCUUCUCUCUGCCGGCACAAGAUUGAGUCCCUUGGUUUCCUUUAGGGCCAAUGAGUGCAAACCAGGUGCCGGGGAGACCCAGCAGUCCCCUGCAGCGAUGGUGGGUGCUGCUUGGGGACCAGGCCUGAAGUCGGGGGCAGGAGGAUGCUCACCUCCCAUGCUCUCUUGUUCCUGGGUUCCCUGCUCCCCAGUGCUUCUCAGAGCUGCUGUCAGAGAAGGGUUUUCUCACCGAGGUUUUUUCCAGACCUCUGAGUCUGGAAGAAGACCUCUGAGCUCCCCGAGGUCUUCUUUCUGUUUACUCCUUGUUGAUCCUAAAAAUACUCAUGGGUGAAGUGAUGGCUGCAGGCGAUGGGCAUGAGCUGAGCUGUUUUCCUGAUGCCACGCUGCCAUCAUAGGGUAUGUGGGACCUGAGGAGGGAGGAAUGAUUAGGGACCUUAUAGCUGUUUAUUCAUUCAUUCAACAAGUAUUUCCUGAGUGUCUUCUGUGUGCCAGGAUGCUCCUAGGUUUAGAGAUUCAGCAGGGAACCAAAUAGAAGGAACAUCUCGUAUUUUAGUGGUGAGACGCCAACAAUCAGGAAAUUAACGUAAGGCAUAGAGUACAUUCGACCUUGCAAGUGUCACGUAGGAAAAGCAGUGGGGAAGCGAGUGUGGGAGAACGUGAGGGGAGGGAGCACUCACAGGGGUGGAGGGAGGACCUGCACUGUGUCAGGGAGAGCCUUGCAGGUGGAGGGACUUGCCCCAAAGCCAAGGGUCCUCAGCUUCAAGACCCGCUUUCUGCAUGGGCUGUUCCUGCGGCUCACAGGGUCCAUAUGAUUUCUCUGUAGUCAGGACUAUUUCCAUCCUGAAUUCCCCUCUGUCACUUUGCCCCGUGGUGAGUAGCCCUGGAGGGCUGUGGACAAUUUUGGGAUCCAGCUAAGGUUGAGUUGGGAUGCUUUGGUUGGGUUUAGUAACCACGUGCGUGUGGUUUGCUGCCACUCUGUUGAGUUGCACAGCCCUGAUGGGAAGGUGUCCAUCAUUUUCCAGGUCAUUGCCAGCGUGUCAAGACAUGAAGAUUCCAGGCCAGAGGGACCAGCUCACCUCGGCUAUAUCCCAGGGUGCCCCUAUCUGGACACCUGCAGGAAGGAGGAAAAACCAGUCACUCUGCUCCAGCGGCUGCUCCUUACGUUUUCCUCAGCACUCCCGGCAGCUCGGCCUGGGUGUGUUUGUGCUGGUGGUUCCUUCUACACAGAUGCUGCUCCCGGCUUUCCUGCAGGACUCAUCCCUCAGCUCCUUCCUGGAUGCCACUUUCUCUGCCUCAAAGCAAACUUCAAGGGAGUGCUCGUGAUCCUCUUUUCUGGAAGAAAAGAUGAGAACCCAGGAAGCCUACGGAAUAUUCAUAAGGCUGGGCAGCCGGCAGCUGGCGAGCAGCUGAGCAGAGUUUGAAUUCAGAGCUGCGGCGGGCUUCCUGUCACCAUCUCCACUCUCUGGACCCUCCAGGCUGCUGGAUUUCCUCCUGAGACAUCACCUGGCCUCAUCGACAGCAUAAAAGGUUUGCCUUUGCCCGGCAGACUCAACGCAGAAGCUCUCCAUGGCUGAGCGACUGCACACAGCAGAGAACUGAGCAGCCGAGUUGGAGGACGUCGCAGGGGGUGGCUGCAGAGACCCUGGACAUGCACCUUGCUGCCUCUUCCCAACACAAGGCACGCCAUUGACCCGGCAUGUGCCUGCCCAGCCUCUGCUCUGGCCAGCUGUGCCACCCAUGGGGCCUCCAGCUGUGAGGACUAACAGCCCAUGUGCCUGGCAGCCGGCCCUCCGACAAGCUCACAGGUGGGACUGAGACACCAUCCCUCUCUGCUCUCUUCCCUCUGCAUCUGAAGUGAAUGAAUACAUUCAUGUUUCAGGAGGAGAAGAUCAUAACUGUCAGGACUGUCACAGCCAGGCAGCAGUCACGUGGGGACUCUGUUCCUUUGAGCUUCAGUGUGGCUUUCUUGGGUUUGCAGAUGACAUUCAAGUGGGAAGGAAGAGGAUGACACUUUCCCCCUGAGAAUGACUUCCUGGUCCAGGUGUGGUCCUGGAGGCAGUAAUUAGUCGCUUUGAUCUUUGUCCCUAUAGUUCCUGUCUUUGGGGUGGGGUUCUUGGUCCCUCAUGGCCAGGAUGCUGCCCCCUCUUCUGCAGUGCUUCCUCAACCCUGGAUUCCCUUUAAAACUCUGCUUCCCAGGGCUUCCUCUCUGGUUUCACAGGGCGACGAUUUCACCUUUUGAGCUACCAGCAGGGUCCCAAUCAAGGCAAAGGAGAUGUGAAGAAGCGAGUGUGGCUUCCCUGAGGUUUUCACAGCUUCUCAAAGCUGCUGUUGAUCAAUAAUAAAUGGAAUCCCAAGCAGACAGCUCCCAAGUCAUGCUGGAGCAGGCAGCAGCUCAGGAGGGGCAUUCGGGGCGAUGCCCAGGCUCAGGUCACACAGGGUGGCCCCAAGCAUGGACAGUUCCUUCCAGGCCAUGCCCUGAGAGUCUGGCUUGCCUUAACCUCUGCCUGCCCUUUGCUGGAGCCUCAUGCUGGGCUGAGGAGUGCCCAAGGUGUGCAUCAGGGUGAUAGCCCUGACUGCCAACAUUCAGGGCCACACCUGGGAGCCCUGUUGUUGGGAGAAUUUACACCAUGGGAACUGGCAAACAUGGUGAACCAGCCACUUCUCACAACUGUUCUUCCCCCAAGCAUGGGUUACCUGGUUAUUAAGUAUAUUGUCCUUCCUCAGCCCAGCUAAUUCUAACAUCUUCUCUUAAUUCUAAUAUCAGUGCCCACCUUGCUAUAGUACAGGGGCUUUUAGAAAGCGGGGAGAAAAGCAGUGAGUGAGCAUCUCUUCUUUUCAUGGUGGGAAGGCAGCUGUGUGGACCAUGAGAGGGUGCCUCCUGCAGCACAUGGGGGGCACCUGCUCCAGCAGACUCCCAGCCUGGCAGCGGGCACUGGCCAGUCCUGGGUGUGUUUGGUGGAAGCCUCUCCAUUUUCAGUGCCAGGAGGGAGUCUCCUUGUUGUGACAUCUGUAAAAAGGAAGACCCUCUAGGAGGAGACAGUGCCCCCACAAAAAGGGCCAGUGUGGCCUCAGUAGGGCCCUCCUGGAAGAGGGUGCUUGUGGUUCUGGCUUUUUCUCCUCCGCUUCUGUGAUGGGGCCUGUAGACCCAGCUGCUCAGACUGUGGGGCUGUAGGCAGGCUGCUCCUGGUCCCAUAAGAGGGUGAAAGGUCUCACCUGAAAUGCUGCUCUGCUUCCCUGUGUGGAUGACACCUUCUGGGAGGUGUUUAAUUUUCCAAGGCCCUUUGAAGGACCCACAGAUCCUUCAAUUCAGUUCAAAACUAGGCCCAAAGGUAUGGGGUCAAGACAGACUGGGCUUGGGAAGUACCUAGAGUCAGGGUGGUAACUGUCCUUGCACCAGUGUGGGCUCAUUCUAAGAGGGGAGGAGGCUGGACGUGGGGAAUUCUACACACACUUCAAUAGAAAAUAUCCAGAGGGGACAUAGGGACAGAUAGUCCAGUAAUGGAGGUUCUUCUUCCAGUAUGGGAGCUACGCCCUUCAUCUGGCAUUCAUUACUGGAGCCAAAUGAACAAGGGAGACCCUACUCAGUCCUAUAAAGAAAGGUCUUGUGCAGCCAGACAAAACCUGGGAGGUCCAGAGCUAAAAGUGUGUAACUGUGGACCACUUGAGGGUCCAUUCUGUUCUCCAGAGUUCACCUGGAGUCCAUCAUAUCUAGAAACUCAAGAAAGAAGAAAAUUUAACAGGCACACAAAGAUGUAAUGUGAGUAGAACUUUGAGUAAAAAAUAAAGUUCUCUAUGAAAGGAUGAGAGCUGCAUUUAUGGCUAAAGCAUUGUGUAUCAAGGAUGUCAAUUCCACAGGAAUGGAGCGUGCCCACUGCCAUCCCUCUAUCACCACCUCCUCCCCAUCCCCAUGUUGUGUUUCAAGCAUGCCGAUUUCAUAGGAGUAGAGCCUGCCCACUGUCAUCCCUCCAUCACCGCCCCCUCCUCAGCCCCGCAUUGUAUAUCCAGGAUGUAAAUUUCACAGGAGUGGAGCCUGCCCACUGCCAUCCCUCCAUCACCGCCUCAUCCUCAGCCCCGCAUUGUAUAUCCAGGAUGUAAAUUUCAUAGGAGUGGAGGCUGCCCACUGUCAUCCCUCCAUCACCGCCCCCUCCUCAGCCCUGCAUUGUAUAUACAGGAUGUAAAUUUCAUAGGAGUGGAGCCUGCCCACUGUCAUCCCUCCAUCACCACUCCCUCCUCAACCCUGCAUUGUAUAUCCAGAAUGUCAAUUCCAUAGGAGUGGAGCCUGCCCACUGCCAUCCCUCCAUCACUGCCCCCUCCCCAGCCCCGCAUUGUGAAUCAAGGAUGUGAAUGCCAUAGGAGUGGAGCCUGCCCACUGCCAUCCCUCCAUCACUACCCCCUCCCCAGCCCCGUGCUACACUGCAGCUUCACUCGUGCUGGGCAUUCCUACAUAUUUGCUGAGUGAACAAAUGAGUUGAUUAUGCAAUAGAUUCUUGCAUUGCUGCAUAAUAAAUUAUGAUAGAGAAAAUUA